UGGUCGCAUGGUAUAGUUGGUUAUUACGCCCGCCUGUCACGCGGGAGAUCACGGGUUCGAGUCCCGUUGUGACCGU
Molecule: transfer RNA, 76 nt
Filed under: Periweissella ghanensis
Lineage: Bacteria; Bacillati; Bacillota; Bacilli; Lactobacillales; Lactobacillaceae
Also listed under: 1 other name
Description: tRNA-Asp
Rfam family: tRNA
About the family: Transfer RNA (tRNA) molecules are approximately 80 nucleotides in length. Their secondary structure includes four short double-helical elements and three loops (D, anti-codon, and T loops).
Source: RNAcentral